GAGUUUGAUCCUGGCUCAGGAUGAACGCUGGCGGCGUGCUUAACACAUGCAAGUCGAGCGAAGCGCUUAAGUUUGAUUCUUUGGAUGAAGACUUAAUUGACUGAGCGGCGGACGGGUGAGUAACGCGUGGGUAACCUGCCUCAUACAGGGGGAUAACAGUUAGAAAUGACUGCUAAUACCGCAUAAGACCACGGUACCGCAUGGUACAGUGGUAAAAACUCCGGUGGUAUGAGAUGGACCCGCGUCUGAUUAGGUAGUUGGUGGGGUAACGGCCUACCAAGCCGACGAUCAGUAGCCGACCUGAGAGGGUGACCGGCCACAAUGGGACUGAGACACGGCCCAGACUCCUACGGGAGGCAGCAGUGGGGAAUAUUGCACAAUGGAGGAAACUCUGAUGCAGCGACGCCGCGUGAAGGAUGAAGUAUUUCGGUAUGUAAACUUCUAUCAGCAGGGAAGAAAAUGACGGUACCUGACUAAGAAGCCCCGGCUAACUACGUGCCAGCAGCCGCGGUAAUACGUAGGGGGCAAGCGUUAUCCGGAUUUACUGGGUGUAAAGGGAGCGUAGACGGCUUUGCAAGCCAGAUGUGAAAGCCCGGGGCUCAACCCCGGGACUGCAUUUGGAACUGUAAUGCUAGAGUGUCGGAGAGGCAAGUGGAAUUCCUAGUGUAGCGGUGAAAUGCGUAGA
This 685-nucleotide ribosomal RNA is filed under the name uncultured bacterium. RNAcentral describes it as "bacterial SSU rRNA". It matches the Rfam family "Bacterial small subunit ribosomal RNA", at positions 9 to 694 of the family's 1533-position model. The record is from RNAcentral.